GGGUUGUGAGGUUAAGCGACUAAGCGUACACGGUGGAUGCCCUGGCAGUCAGAGGCGAUGAAGGACGUGCUAAUCUGCGAAAAGCGUCGGUAAGGUGAUAUGAACCGUUAUAACCGGCGAUGUCCGAAUGGGGAAACCCAGUGCAAUUCGUUGCACUAUCGUUAACUGAAUACAUAGGUUAACGAGGCGAACCGGGGGAACUGAAACAUCUAAGUACCCCGAGGAAAAGAAAUCAACCGAGAUUCCCCCAGUAGCGGCGAGCGAACGGGGAGCAGCCCAGAGUCUGAAUCAGCUUGUGUGUUAGUGGAACGGUCUGGAAAGUCCGACGGUACAGGGUGAUAGUCCCGUACACCAAAAUGCACAGGUUGUGAACUCGAAGAGUAGGGCGGGACACGUGGUAUCCUGUCUGAAUAUGGGGGGACCAUCCUCCAAGGCUAAAUACUCCUGACUGACCGAUAGUGAACCAGUACCGUGAGGGAAAGGCGAAAAGAACCCCGGCGAGGGGAGUGAAAAAGAACCUGAAACCGUGUACGUACAAGCAGUGGGAGCACCUUUAUGGUGUGACUGCGUACCUUUUGUAUAAUGGGUCAGCGACUUAUAUUCUGUAGCAAGGUUAACCGUAUAGGGGAGCCGCAGGGAAACCGAGUCUUAACUGGGCGUUAAGUUGCAGGGUAUAGACCCGAAACCCGGUGAUCUAGCCAUGGGCAGGUUGAAGGUUGGGUAACACUAACUGGAGGACCGAACCGACUAAUGUUGAAAAAUUAGCGGAUGACUUGUGGCUGGGGGUGAAAGGCCAAUCAAACCGGGAGAUAGCUGGUUCUCCCCGAAAGCUAUUUAGGUAGCGCCUCGUGAACUCAUCUUCGGGGGUAGAGCACUGUUUCGGCUAGGGGGUCAUCCCGACUUACCAACCCGAUGCAAACUACGAAUACCGAAGAAUGUUAUCACGGGAGACACACGGCGGGUGCUAACGUCCGUCGUGAAGAGGGAAACAACCCAGACCGCCAGCUAAGGUCCCAAAGUCAUGGUUAAGUGGGAAACGAUGUGGGAAGGCACAGACAGCCAGGAUGUUGGCUUAGAAGCAGCCAUCAUUUAAAGAAAGCGUAAUAGCUCACUGGUCGAGUCGGCCUGCGCGGAAGAUGUAACGGGGCUAAACCAUGCACCGAAGCUGCGGCAGCGACACGAUGUGUUGUUGGGUAGGGGAGCGUUCUGUAAGCCUGCGAAGGUGACCUGUGAGGGUUGCUGGAGGUAUCAGAAGUGCGAAUGCUGACAUAAGUAACGAUAAAGCGGGUGAAAAGCCCGCUCGCCGGAAGACCAAGGGUUCCUGUCCAACGUUAAUCGGGGCAGGGUGAGUCGACCCCUAAGGCGAGGCCGAAAGGCGUAGUCGAUGGGAAACAGGUUAAUAUUCCUGUACUUGGUGUUACUGCGAAGGGGGGACGGAGAAGGCUAUGUUAGCCGGGCGACGGUUGUCCCGGUUUAAGCAUGUAGGCUGGUUAUCCAGGCAAAUCCGGAUAAUCAAGGCUGAGGUGUGAUGACGAGGCACUACGGUGCUGAAGUAACAAAUGCCCUGCUUCCAGGAAAAGCCUCUAAGCAUCAGGUAACAUCAAAUCGUACCCCAAACCGACACAGGUGGUCAGGUAGAGAAUACCAAGGCGCUUGAGAGAACUCGGGUGAAGGAACUAGGCAAAAUGGUGCCGUAACUUCGGGAGAAGGCACGCUGGUGUGUAGGUGAAGUCCCUGCGGAUGGAGCUGAGACCAGUCGAAGAUACCAGCUGGCUGCAACUGUUUAUUAAAAACACAGCACUGUGCAAACACGAAAGUGGACGUAUACGGUGUGACGCCUGCCCGGUGCCGGAAGGUUAAUUGAUGGGGUUAUCCGUAAGGAGAAGCUCUUGAUCGAAGCCCCGGUAAACGGCGGCCGUAACUAUAACGGUCCUAAGGUAGCGAAAUUCCUUGUCGGGUAAGUUCCGACCUGCACGAAUGGCGUAAUGAUGGCCAGGCUGUCUCCACCCGAGACUCAGUGAAAUUGAACUCGCUGUGAAGAUGCAGUGUACCCGCGGCAAGACGGAAAGACCCCGUGAACCUUUACUAUAGCUUGACACUGAACAUUGAGCCUUGAUGUGUAGGAUAGGUGGGAGGCUUUGAAGCGUGGACGCCAGUCUGCGUGGAGCCAACCUUGAAAUACCACCCUUUAAUGUUUGAUGUUCUAACGUUGGCCCCUUACCGGGGUUGCGGACAGUGUCUGGUGGGUAGUUUGACUGGGGCGGUCUCCUCCCAAAGCGUAACGGAGGAGCACGAAGGUUAGCUAAUCCUGGUCGGACAUCAGGAGGUUAGUGCAAUGGCAUAAGCUAGCUUGACUGCGAGCGUGACGGCGCGAGCAGGUGCGAAAGCAGGUCAUAGUGAUCCGGUGGUUCUGAAUGGAAGGGCCAUCGCUCAACGGAUAAAAGGUACUCCGGGGAUAACAGGCUGAUACCGCCCAAGAGUUCAUAUCGACGGCGGUGUUUGGCACCUCGAUGUCGGCUCAUCACAUCCUGGGGCUGAAGUAGGUCCCAAGGGUAUGGCUGUUCGCCAUUUAAAGUGGUACGCGAGCUGGGUUUAGAACGUCGUGAGACAGUUCGGUCCCUAUCUGCCGUGGGCGCUGGAGAAUUGAGGGGGGCUGCUCCUAGUACGAGAGGACCGGAGUGGACGCAUCACUGGUGUUCGGGUUGUCAUGCCAAUGGCACUGCCCGGUAGCUAAAUGCGGAAGAGAUAAGUGCUGAAAGCAUCUAAGCACGAAACUUGCCCCGAGAUGAGUUCUCCCUGAGACUUUAAGUCUCCUGAAGGAACGUUGAAGACGACGACGUUGAUAGGCCGGGUGUGUAAGCGCAGCGAUGCGUUGAGCUAACCGGUACUAAUGAACCGUGAGGCUUAACCUUACAACGCCGAAG
RNAcentral lists this ribosomal RNA (2924 nucleotides) under Klebsiella quasipneumoniae subsp. similipneumoniae. RNAcentral's name for it is "bacterial LSU rRNA". It matches the Rfam family "Bacterial large subunit ribosomal RNA". Lineage: Bacteria; Pseudomonadati; Pseudomonadota; Gammaproteobacteria; Enterobacterales; Enterobacteriaceae. The record is from RNAcentral.